Molecule: ribosomal RNA, 899 nt
Filed under: uncultured Clostridium sp.
Lineage: Bacteria; Bacillati; Bacillota; Clostridia; Eubacteriales; Clostridiaceae
Description: bacterial SSU rRNA
Rfam family: Bacterial small subunit ribosomal RNA
Source: RNAcentral
CGAGCUGACGCCGCGCGCCGCGUGAGCGAUGAAGGCCUUCGGGUCGUAAAGUUCUGUCCUCAAGGACGAUAAUGACGGUACUUGAGGAGGAAGCCCCUGCUAACUACGUGCCAGCAGCCGCGGUAAUACGUAGGGGGCAAGCGUUAUCCGGAAUUACUGGGCGUAAAGGGUGCGUAGGUGGUUUCUUAAGUCAGACGUGAAAGGCUACAGCUCAACCGUAAUGAGCCUUUGAAACUGGAAAACUUGAAUGCCUGAGAGGAGAGUGGAAUUCCUAGUGUAGCGGUGAAAUGCGUAUAUAUUAGGAGGAACUCCCGUUGCCAAAGGGGCUCUGUGGACUGUAACUGACACUGAAGGACCGAAGCCGGGGGAGCAAACAGGAUUAGAUUCCCUGGGAGUCCACCCCCUAAACCAUUAGUACUUACUGUCGGAGGUAACCCCCUUCGGUGGCUCAGCUAAUGCAUUAAGUACUCCGCCUGGUAAGUACGCUCGCCAGAAUGAAACUCAUAGGAAUUGACGGGGACCGGUCCAAGUAGCGGAGCAUGUGGUUUAAUUCGAAGCAACGCGAAGAACCUUACCUUAGCUUGACAUACUUUUGACCAAUGCUUAAUCACAUCUUUCCCUUCUUGGACAAAAGUGACACGUGGUGCAUGGUUGUCGUCAGCUCGUGUCUCGAGAUGUUGGGUUAAGUCCCCUUACGAGAACAACCCCCUGCCUCUUAUUUGCCAAUUUUAUAGUUGGGCACUCUAGAGGGACUGCCAGGGAUAACCUAUGACGAAGGUGGGCGAUGACGUCAAAUCAUCAUGCCCCUUAUGCUUAGGGAUACACACGUGCUAUGUGGGUCGACAGAGGGGAGCCAAGUCUCGAGUCAGAGCUUAUCUCUUAAAGGAUUGUCAUUGGGA